RNAcentral lists this ribosomal RNA (253 nucleotides) under uncultured bacterium. RNAcentral's name for it is "partial 16S ribosomal RNA". It matches the Rfam family "Bacterial small subunit ribosomal RNA", at positions 524 to 776 of the family's 1533-position model. The record is from RNAcentral.
UACGUAGGGGGCAAGCGUUGUCCGGAAUCAUUGGGCGUAAAGAGCGUGUAGGCGGCUUGGCAAGUCUGGUGUGAAAUCUUGCGGCUCAACCGCAAGCGGUCACUGGAAACUGCCUCGCUAGAGUCCGGAAGAGGAGAGCGGAAUUCCUGGUGUAGCGGUGGAAUGCGCAGAUAUCAGGAGGAACACCUAUGGCGAAGGCAGCUCGCUGGGACGGUACUGACGCUGAGACGCGAAAGCGUGGGGAGCGAACAGG